RNAcentral lists this long non-coding RNA (210 nucleotides) under Piliocolobus tephrosceles (Ugandan red Colobus). Its description in RNAcentral is "lncRNA (ENSPTEG00000010354.1)". Lineage: Eukaryota; Metazoa; Chordata; Mammalia; Primates; Cercopithecidae. The record is from RNAcentral.
UACAAAAUAGGUUUAAUUAAUCUUCCUCAAUCAUUCUUAUUUUUCAGAUCUUCAGGAAUUUUACUGGGAUAAUUGUCCAAAUAAAUUGCAAGCAUUCUAUCCAAACGGUUCCAGGCUUGAAAAUUUUCCUGGGGGAUAGGGCAGGGAGAACAGGAACCUGGGAGCUCUUGCUGAGAUGAAGAGAACUCUCAAUGUCAAGAUUUGAACAAG